GAUAGUGAACCAGUACCGUGAGGGAAAGGCGAAAAGAACCCCGGCGAGGGGAGUGAAAAAGAACCUGAAACCGUGUACGUACAAGCAGUGGGAGCCCCACCACUAAGCCAGUGGUGAACUCCACAUCCGCAUCCUUUGCUGAGGAUACGGUUAACGGAGCGAAAGCGACGUUCAACCGCAAAACAAGCAGAGGGGGCUUAGGGGUGUGACUGCGUACCUUUUGUAUAAUGGGUCAGCGACUUAUAUUCUGUAGCAAGGUUAACCGUAUAGGGGAGCCGGAGGGAAACCGAGUCUUAACCGGGCGUUAAGUUGCAGGGUAUAGACCCGAAACCCGGUGAUCUAGCCAUGGGCAGGUUGAAGGUUGGGUAACACUAACUGGAGGACCGAACCGACUAAUGUUGAAAAAUUAGCGGAUGACCUGUGGCUGGGGGUGAAAGGCCAAUCAAACCGGGAGAUAGCUGGUUCUCCCCGAAAGCUAUUUAGGUAGCGCCUCGUGAAUUCAUCUCCGGGGGUAGAGCACUGUUUCGGCUAGGGGGCCAUCCCGGCUUACCAACCCGAUGCAAACUGCGAAUACCGGAGAAUGUUAUCACGGGAGACACACGGCGGGUGCUAACGUCCGUCGUGAAGAGGGAAACAACCCAGACCGCCAGCUAAGGUCCCAAAGUCAUGGUUAAGUGGGAAACGAUGUGGGAAGGCCCAGACAGCCAGGAUGUUGGCUUAGAAGCAGCCAUCAUUUAAAGAAAGCGUAAUAGCUCACUGGUCGAGUCGGCCUGCGCGGAAGAUGUAACGGGGCUAAACCAUGCACCGAAGCUGCGGCAGCGAACGUAUCACCCAAGACAACUUUACGGAGUUGACGAUUGACGGAGCGAAGCGACGUCAAAGCGUUCAUUAAAGUCGAGUUGGCUUAGGGAUACGUUCGUUGGGUAGGGGAGCGUUCUGUAAGCCUGUGAAGGUGUGUCGUGAGGCAUGCUGGAGGUAUCAGAAGUGCGAAUGCUGACAUAAGUAACGAUAAAGCGGGUGAAAAGCCCGCUCGCCGGAAGACCAAGGGUUCCUGUCCAACGUUA
This 1064-nucleotide ribosomal RNA is filed under the name Salmonella enterica subsp. enterica serovar Typhimurium. RNAcentral describes it as "bacterial LSU rRNA". It matches the Rfam family "Bacterial large subunit ribosomal RNA", at positions 486 to 1367 of the family's 2925-position model. The record is from RNAcentral. Lineage: Bacteria; Pseudomonadati; Pseudomonadota; Gammaproteobacteria; Enterobacterales; Enterobacteriaceae.